CGCCUCCCCGGGGCCGGCUCGGGCCACUUCUUGCGCGCUGCCAGAAGGAGCUAUUUUGAGCAGGCGGAAUUUUGCUCUGGUGGCCCAGGCUGGAGUGCAGUGGUGCGAUCUUGGCUCACUGCAACCUCUGCCUCCCAGAUUCAAGCAAUUCUCCUGCCUCAGCCUCCCAAGUCGCUGGGAUUACAGGUGCCUGCCACCAUGCCCAGUCCUUCUGACCCUCGUGGCUUCUCCUGCUCCAAGGCCAAGCUCGGGACCCUGUCAUCAUCCCCGGGGACAGGCCCCAUCUUAGAGAGGAUCCACCCAGCUCCCCGCUCCUGAGCCAUCUUCCAGCUAUCCCGCCUCGAGACUCCCACCGCACCUGCUCCUGGGCUGCAGCUGCACCCAACAAGUCAACAUGUGGAUUGCUUCUAGAAUUUGGAUAUUAUGAACACUGCUGUGCUGAACAUUCUUGUACACUUAUAUGGUUUGGCUGUGUCCCCACCCAAAUCUCAUCUUGAAUUGUAGCUCCCAUAAUUCCUAUGUGUCGUGG
RNAcentral lists this long non-coding RNA (529 nucleotides) under Homo sapiens (human). RNAcentral's name for it is "HSALNT0363504". Lineage: Eukaryota; Metazoa; Chordata; Mammalia; Primates; Hominidae. The record is from RNAcentral.